This 436-nucleotide unclassified non-coding RNA is filed under the name Hevea brasiliensis (rubber tree). Lineage: Eukaryota; Viridiplantae; Streptophyta; Magnoliopsida; Malpighiales; Euphorbiaceae. The record is from RNAcentral.
GAAGAACCAUAGAUACCCAUGGUAUUAAUGAAAGGCCCAUAAGCUCACAACCCACAAUCCGGUCUAUGUUCAUUAUGCACAGGCCCUUCUUCAGGAGGCCCGAUGGACUGUUAUGGUCCCAAAAUUCAGAAUAUGAGUGAAGAACUUAUGAUUGUACUAUAAUAAAUAAGAAUAUUAUGGGACCACUCAGAUGACAGCUAGCCAGUCACCUCUGUGAGAUUAAUAAUUAUCAGCCUCCUGUGCCACCACAUGUGACUUGUACUCCUUUUGGACCCAUCCAUCCCGUGAACAAAGAGCCUAUUGACUGGACCCAUCCUCUUUGGUAAGAUUCUCAAGACCCUAUGGAUGUUGAAGCAUGUGAAACCAUUGAAAGUGCUGCCCUACCAUCUCCUGAAAAGCAUAGAUACUGGUAUGAACCCUUUUUCGGAGAUAUUGA